This 672-nucleotide long non-coding RNA is filed under the name Medicago truncatula (barrel medic). RNAcentral's name for it is "long non-coding RNA (MTRU_LNC000957)". Lineage: Eukaryota; Viridiplantae; Streptophyta; Magnoliopsida; Fabales; Fabaceae. The record is from RNAcentral.
CUCCUAAACCACCAGUUCAUAAACCACCAAGAUAUCCUCCUAAACCAUCACCUUGUCCACCCCCAUCAUCAACACCAAAACCACCUCAUCAUCCCAAACCCCCAGCAGUACACCCACCACAUGUUCCAAAACCACAUCCACCUUAUGUUCCAAAACCACCAAUUGUUAAACCUCCAAUAGUACAUCCACCUUACGUACCAAAACCCCCAGUUGUGAAACCACCACCAUAUGUCCCUAAACCACCUGUUGUGAGACCACCCUAUGUUCCUAAACCACCAGUUGUACCUGUAACACCACCUUAUGUUCCUAAGCCACCAAUUGUUUUCCCACCACAUGUUCCUCUACCUCCAGUUGUACCAUCACCACCACCUUAUGUACCAACACCUCCAAUUGUGAAACCACCAAUUGUUUUUCCACCACAUGUUCCUCUACCUCCAGUUGUGCCUGUAACACCACCUUAUGUGCAACCACCACCUAUUGUAACUCCACCAACACCAACACCUCCAAUUGUGACACCACCAACACCACCUAGUGAAACACCUUGUCCUCCACCACCACUUGUACCUUAUCCACCACCACCAGCACAACAAACAUGUUCCAUUGAUGCUUUGAAGUUGGGUGCAUGUGUUGAUGUGCUUGGUGGACUCAUACAUAUUGGUAUAGGUGGAAGUG